Long non-coding RNA from Leptopilina boulardi, 1342 nucleotides. RefSeq lists it as uncharacterized. NCBI's taxonomy places the organism in Eukaryota, Metazoa, Arthropoda, Insecta, Hymenoptera, Figitidae. The transcript is spliced from 4 exons. The record is from RefSeq and is a predicted model, not a curated record.
GUUUACACUUCAUGUUUGUUUACAUUUCACAUGUUGGACAUACCCUUAAACUUCAUGAUACUUUUUUGAACUUGAAAAAAUACAUAUUAUUUUCGAUAAACAUACUAUUAUUAAAUAAAAAAAAAUAACUUUUGAAAAUUAAAUAACGACUUGAAUCGGAAAUUUCUUUUUAAAAAUGCGAAUUUCACUACAGCUCUCUACCGAUUCAAAACAAAAGUGAAUACAGGUUUAUUUCCUGGCGAGAGGGCGCUAAGUGCUGUAGGUAUUAAGGUAAAUGACCCAGUUUGUGAAGGUGUACCAAUUUGUAAACAGUUGCUUAUAUAAAUGCAAAUUAAUAUUGCAAAUAUUUAUUUUUUAUUCUAUAUAACAUUUUUUUGUAAUAAUAAUAAUAAAUAGAAUUUUAUGACCAUAAAAGUGUUAUUAAAAUAAUUUUAAAGAAAUAAAUACUUUUACAAUGUUGAUAUAUUUCUGCGCGAUCAGCGCAAAUAUGGAGUUAUUUUUUAGUUUUUUAUCAUUUGUCCUUUGACAGAUUAACCUAAAAAUGUUAUCCAGUAAUAAAAGAUAAAAUUUCAUAAAAUCAGAAUAAAAAAAAGUUAAAGAGGCUAGUAUUUCGGUUGCUCGUCUGAAUCAAACUGAAAUCUUUUUGACUUAGAAUGGUAGGUCAGGAGUGAAAAGGGGUGAAAGAGGAGCAAUAUGGGAAUUCGUUGAGAGCUGGUGGAAGGUACAGGAAGAGAGGGUGGUACCUGUACUUUAUAGUGCAUGCCAUUACAGAGGAACCAACCGACGAGACGCAUCGAUCUUUAUACAUUGAGGUUGCAUUCUAUUAUAUUCGACAGAAUCUGUCAUUAGGAUUUCCCCCUUCGAGGUAGCGUGGCCGAGCGGUCUAAGGCGCUGGUUUAAGGCACCAGUCUCUUCGGAGGCGUGGGUUCGAAUCCCACCGCUGCCAAUUUUUUGGUCAUGAAAGGACUUUAGACAGAUCGAAGGGUUCUCGUACAAUGACACAGUAACCCAGAUUUUUGUUCACCACUUGGUUUGUGGUGUCUACGAUACAUUUGCAUGCGCCGACAAAUAAAUGUCCGCUUUAGAUCCGUUAAGGUGGACUCACGCACACGCAACAAGACGUUAACAUCGGGUCAGUAGUUUUUCCCUGUAGAAACUCACUAGUGCGAUUCAAUCUGAGGCAUUUCUUGGCACGCGAUAUACCCUGGUGAACCACCUGCCAAGAGGGUUCGAAAUCCUUUCUAUAUACAUAAAGCAAGCUUACUGAAAUUUAUCAUCUGCUUUUUAUGUAUUAUUAUUUUCACUAAAUACCUCUUCAAAUUGUUACUUCAAAUUAUUCAUU